UACCCCCUUUUCACUUUGCCAAUUGGACUUAGGUUUUCAUUAGUCACUCAAAUGGGGCAAAGGAAACAUCCUUUUAAAACUCAAGCAAACUACCCUGACUGGUUUGGCUCAGCGGUUAGAGCAUUGGCCU
Small nucleolar RNA from Molossus molossus (Pallas's mastiff bat), 130 nucleotides. RefSeq annotates it as small nucleolar RNA SNORA27. The record is from RefSeq and is a predicted model, not a curated record. The transcript has a single exon. NCBI's taxonomy places the organism in Eukaryota, Metazoa, Chordata, Mammalia, Chiroptera, Molossidae.